RNAcentral lists this ribosomal RNA (465 nucleotides) under Vreelandella stevensii. Its description in RNAcentral is "partial 16S ribosomal RNA". It matches the Rfam family "Bacterial small subunit ribosomal RNA", at positions 338 to 795 of the family's 1533-position model. The record is from RNAcentral. Lineage: Bacteria; Pseudomonadati; Pseudomonadota; Gammaproteobacteria; Oceanospirillales; Halomonadaceae.
CCUACGGGGUGCAGCAGUGGGGAAUAUUGGACAAUGGGCGAAAGCCUGAUCCAGCCAUGCCGCGUGUGUGAAGAAGGCCUUCGGGUUGUAAAGCACUUUCAGUGGGGAAGAAAGCCUUGGGGCUAAUACCCUCGAGGAAGGACAUCACCCACAGAAGAAGCACCGGCUAACUCCGUGCCAGCAGCCGCGGUAAUACGGAGGGUGCGAGCGUUAAUCGGAAUUACUGGGCGUAAAGCGCGCGUAGGCGGUCUGAUAAGCCGGUUGUGAAAGCCCCGGGCUCAACCUGGGAACGGCAUCCGGAACUGUCAGGCUAGAGUGCAGGAGAGGAAGGUAGAAUUCCCGGUGUAGCGGUGAAACGCGUAGAGAUCGGGAGGAAUACCAGUGGCGAAGGCGGCCUUCUGGACUGACACUGACGCUGAGGUGCGAAAGCGUGGGUAGCAAACAGGAUUAGAUACCCGAGUAGUC